RNAcentral lists this ribosomal RNA (466 nucleotides) under uncultured bacterium. RNAcentral describes it as "partial 16S ribosomal RNA". It matches the Rfam family "Bacterial small subunit ribosomal RNA", at positions 28 to 507 of the family's 1533-position model. The record is from RNAcentral.
GAUGAACGCUGGCGGCGUGCUUAACACAUGCAAGUCGAACGAUGAAGCCCAGCUUGCUGGGUGGAUUUGUGGCGAACGGGUGAGUAACACGCGAGUAUCCCGCCCUUUACUCUUGGAUAAGCCUGGAAAACUGGGGCUAUUAUCCGAUAGAGGCGUCCCCCCCACGGUGGGUGUUGGGAAGAUUUGGCGGUUUUGGAUGGACUCGCGGCCUAUCAGCUUGUUGGUGUGGUAAUGGCUCACCAAGGCGACGACGGGUAGCCGGCCUGAGAGGGUGACCGGCCACACUGGGACUGAGAUACGGCCCAGACUCCUACGGGAGGCAGCAGUGGGGAAUAUUGCACAAUGGGCGGAAGCCUGAUGCAGCGACGCCGCGUGAGGGAUGACGGCCUUCGGGUUGUAAACCGCUUUCAGUAGGGAAGAAGCGAGAGUGACGGUACCUGGUGAAGAAGCACCGGCUAACUACGUG